Long non-coding RNA from Telopea speciosissima, 288 nucleotides. RefSeq lists it as uncharacterized. The transcript is spliced from 2 exons. NCBI's taxonomy places the organism in Eukaryota, Viridiplantae, Streptophyta, Magnoliopsida, Proteales, Proteaceae. The record is from RefSeq and is a predicted model, not a curated record.
GGUUAAAGAAGCAUCCUUAUUCUCAAGACAAGUUUGCCAAAGAAUGCCAGCAAUCAAUUUCUCACUGCAUUAACUGUGAAGGCACAACACAAGGGGAAUAUUAAGGAUGGGAAAUUACAAACGAUGUAAAAAGGAGGAUAGAGAGUUUGCUACAGCAUCACACACUCCAACAAGAUGGUCAGUUCCUCCAAAAUGGGAGAGGAAAGUGCAGUCCAGACAUUCAAAGUUUAAAACAAUGCAUUAGUUUCGAAUUUCAAGACUUAAGGUCAGAUUUCCUACCAGAAGGAU